This 546-nucleotide small RNA is filed under the name Mucor hiemalis. RNAcentral describes it as "eukaryotic LSU rRNA". The stretch from base 207 to 359 matches the Rfam family "5.8S ribosomal RNA". The record is from RNAcentral. Lineage: Eukaryota; Fungi; Mucoromycota; Mucoromycetes; Mucorales; Mucoraceae.
UCUAGUUUUCUAGCGAAUGGUUCAUUCUUUUUUACUGUGAACUGUUUUAAUUUUUCAGCGUCUGAGGAAGGUCUUUUAGCCAUAGGGAUAGGCUACUAGAAUGUUAACCGAGCUGAAAGUCAGGCUUAGGCCUGGUCUCCUAUUAAUUAUUUACCAAAAGAAUUCAGUAUUAUAAUUGUAACAUAAGCGUAAAAAACUUAUAAAACAACUUUUAACAACGGAUCUCUUGGUUCUCGCAUCGAUGAAGAACGUAGCAAAGUGCGAUAACUAGUGUGAAUUGCAUAUUCAGUGAAUCAUCGAGUCUUUGAACGCAACUUGCGCUCAAUGGUAUUCCAUUGAGAACGCCUGUUUCAGUAUCAAAAACACCCCACAUUCAUAAUUUUGUUGUGAAUGGAAUUGAGAGUUUCGGCUUUAUUGCUGAAUUCUUUAAAAUUAUUAGGCCUGAACUAUUGUUCUUUCUGCCUGAACAUUUUUUUAAUAUAAAGGAAUGCUCUAGUAAAAAGACUAUCUCUGGGGCCUCCCAAAUAAAUCAUUCUUAAAUUUGAU